UACGGGGGGGGCAAGCGUUGUUCGGAAUUACUGGGCGUAAAGGGCUCGUAGGCGGCCAACUAAGUCAGACGUGAAACCCCUCGGCUUAACCGGGGAACUGCGUCUGAUACUGGAUGGCUUGAGUUUGGGAGAGGGAUGCGGAAUUCCAGGUGUAGCGGUGAAAUGCGUAGAUAUCUGGAGGAACACCGGUGGCGAAGGCGGGUCUCUGGGCCGAUACUGACGCUGAGGAGCGAAAGCGUGGGGAGCGAACAGG
RNAcentral lists this ribosomal RNA (253 nucleotides) under uncultured bacterium. Its description in RNAcentral is "partial 16S ribosomal RNA". It matches the Rfam family "Bacterial small subunit ribosomal RNA", at positions 524 to 776 of the family's 1533-position model. The record is from RNAcentral.